Ornithodoros turicata is the source of this 4317-nucleotide long non-coding RNA. RefSeq lists it as uncharacterized. The record is from RefSeq and is a predicted model, not a curated record. NCBI's taxonomy places the organism in Eukaryota, Metazoa, Arthropoda, Arachnida, Ixodida, Argasidae. The transcript has 3 exons.
GGUGCCUGACCUAUGUGGGAGUCUCUCUUUAGCUCUGCGUGCAGUGAUACUCCGUUUCUGGCCGCGACUGCGGGUAGCUGUCGGGGACUGCUAAAACCCGUUAAAGUCGAAAGGGUUUUCACGGGAACACAGCUGCAUGCUAAUACAACAAGUGUUCUACACAGUGUAGAAAAAGCCAGAUUUAAGGUGUUGCGCAUUGUCGCAGACAACCACCCCACAAGCACCAAACUGUUCUCUAUCCUGUCCAACAGGUCAGUUCUUCCAGUUGUCCAAUAUGUGCUUGGUUUGUACAUUAAUAUUACUGCAUAGUUUACAUAUUGCAUUUAGACUCGCAGGCACCCGCUAGAUGGAAAACGUCCACUGUUCCUAUCAUUCGAGUACUGCUAUAUAAUAAAGAAUCUAUGGUCACAAUUUUUGGCACACAACCGACUAUUCUGCAACAACGGAAAGUUCAUGAACCUAAAGUAUUUGAGAAUGCUCCUUGGGAUUCAGCAGAGGCAGGUUGGCAUUAAACUAGUACGUGGCCUACCCCUAAAGCACCUGUUUCCAGACAACCUCGAAAAAAUGAAUGUGAAACGCGCUGUUGACGUAUUCUGAGGUUGACGUAUUCUGAGGUACCUGAGGUGACUGCAGAGUUGAGUAACCUUCAGCAUUAUGGGCACAACGUUGGUAUCACAGGGUUCGAUGGCAGCCAUUCAAUAAUCAAAUUUCUUGAGGUCUGCAAGUCAUUCACCUUGCACAAUAUAAAGAGCACAAGUUUCCAUAUCUUCCGUUGUGACCCAAUGAGAAUGCCAUUUUACAGUGAGAACGAUGAAAUGUUCGUAGCUGUGGUUUCUAACCUCCAUUUACAACCAUUUACUUACCCUGACUUAAGUUUACUCUCUUCCACCUCGUCUUUUUUGGCUUGAAGGCACCUUUCUAAAAUACAUCGAUCACUGGAAGCAAGUAGCACCGGCUAAGGCAGCUUUUCUCUCAUCAGAAACCUACGAAGGCCACUGUUCUAUGCACUCGCUACUUGCUCACUCACGGUUUUAAUUAUGUCCUAACGUUUAAGUAUUCUUCUGAUGAAGUGGAAUCUUCGUUCUCAGCCAUACGGCAACUUAAUGGGUCAAAUGACCAGACCGAUGCAUAUGCUGCUUUGUCUACACUCCACAAAAUUGUGGUGACUGGACUCGUAAAGCCAUCUCCAAGUGUAAAUGUUUAAAAUUCUGUCUUUCAACUGCGCGGGCUCCUUAAAGAUACCGCAGGGUUUACGACACAGAUCCCUCCACAAAAUGCAGAAGUACUGCAGCCAUAUUUGGGUCAACUCAAAGCAACAUCAGGUACGAAUGGGGCAAUGGUGAUUGAGUGACGAACAUGCACUAACUGUUGCCAGAUUUUCAGCGGCACCAUGUCCUGGAAUUAAAUCAUCCACCGUUGGUCUUAUAGCUGGAUACCUGGUCAAAGUCAUUGAGACAAAGAUCAACUGCGUUGGGUGCCUCGAAAGAGUCAAAUGCAAGUCAGAUAAUGCUUACUCUAGCUGUGAUCAACAAGUUGGACCGCGGUGGCCUUUCGUAUCCAAACUCACGGUUUGUGAGCUUCUUAGUGACACUUGAAAAUGUAGCUUGUACCAUGAGGAACAUAUUAUUAGAAAUACCGAAGCCACUGAGCUGAUUCGUAACUAGGCUGACUUGGGCUGUCGUCGACAAUGCUUUGUUAAUUUGUAGAACUGACAACACUGUAGCACAUAGGACAGUACUGGUCCAGACAGUUCUAAAAAAGUUAGCAUGGCCGUUCAUAACAAAGAUAAGUGCUCACGUUACACAGCAAAACAAAAACAAGAAGAUUUUGCACAACAAACCUGUCUCCCGAAAAGUGUGCAAACUCUGAGAUGCUAUUGCAUAGUAUUCUAUACAAACUGCAUUGUACUUCGUGAUGAGUGUAUAAACUGUAUUGUACUUCUUGAUGUGUAAGCGAAAAGUCCUCUUGUGUGGUUAUUUAUAUUUCACUUAAAGUUUCACUUGUGAAUCUGGGCGCACGAAAAUUCAAGCGGUAGACAAACUACAUUGUACAGCGAUAAAUAGCGGCAAUGUGCUGCUCUCACAGAAAACAUGAGCGCACUUGAUUUGGAGAGGAGUUUAAAGGAGCAGUCUAGAGGCCCACAAUUUUGUUUCUGUUUUUGGUCAGCAUGGAAUGUUAGGCGGCCGAAAACAGUUUUCCCACAAUUAGUGAAACCGUAGCGAAAUUGGGACGCUUGUAAUAGCUCCCCGAACCUCCCGUGCGCGGAAGACCCUCCUUCGCCUUCACGAUAGGCAUGUGAUGAGCGCCACCACACGCGUCACUGUGUGGCGCAAGUGGUGAGGACGCUUCUCAUUGGCCCUGGGAACACAUGAUCGAGGUGAGCAACAUCGCGCAGGCCGGAACGUCUGCUACCGCUUCGGAGACCCCAUGCGUUCUCCGGCUACGUGAUGUCCGAAAUGGAGGGUUUGAAGGCUGUCCACGACACAACCACGAUCUUUUUGGGACCGCAGACAUCACGGGAAGAACGAUUGGUGCAGCCCGAAAUUAACUGCGCUUGUACAGCGAAAAUCCUGUGCUUGUCAACAGUGUACAGCCUGUCCGACCGUUUUCACCGCGCAGUUGGUUCAGUGGCUAACAGGUGGCGCAACAAUACCGCCGCCAUAGCUUGCUUUCUCCUACUGUGAAUUCUGAGAUUGCACAGAAGCCACGGAUAUAUUACUCUUGUGAUCGUAAUCAUAUUCUCUCAGGCUGCAUGUAUGCUUUGUUUUCUUUUCUUACAAAACGUGAUAUAAAUCAUAUAAAGAAUAGAAGUUAACAAGAAACCGCUCGCAAUGUUCGUAGCAGACGGUUUUUCCUACCGAACGAAUGAGGGUCUCUCUACCACCAACGUCACAGUAGAGUGGGUGUGGUCUGCAGUUGGAGCGCUCCGGCCUGUCACCGCGGCAGCGAUUUUCCAAAUUAAUUGCACCGUGGUGAAACAACUUUGGACAGAAAUAUUUUGUGGGAAUGCUUUUCCCAUACUGCUUUACAAGAUGACAGCAGUUUUUGGCCAUGUUAGAUACUACUUUAACGCUCCUUUAACUGUGCAAUUUGACCUCAUAGGUUGAGUAGCACGCAGAAACGUCUUUAAAUCGAUUCUCUCGCAUAGCGUACACAGCAUACACCAUAACCGAAACGACAGAGGGCUUCGCGCACCAUCUAGCGGGAGCGCUGCCAACUAUUGUUCCAGUAUCCUUUCCGUACGGGGUGCGCUGAAUGGUCAGGUUUCCUGUCUUAUUUAGUGGGUCGUGAUUGCUAGUACUGAAUAACGGUGCCAAGACAACAACAAAAGACACAAGUCAAGGUUGGUACACUGCUGCUACUGAAUAACGGCACCAAGACAAUACGAAGAGAAGAUAUGACAACACAAUGCCAAGUUGAUACAUUGCUACUACUGAAUAACGGCGGCAAGACAACACAAAGAGAAGAUAGGACAACACAAUGCCAAAGUUGGUACAUUGCUACUACAGAAUAACGGUGCCGAGACAACACGAAGACAAGAUCGGACAACACAACGCCAAAGUUGGUACAUUGCAGUUACUGAAUAACAGCGCCAAGACAAUACGAAGAGAAGAUAGGACAACAUAACGCCAAGUUGGUACAUAGCUACUACUGAAGAACAGUGCCAAGACAACACGAAGAGAAGAUAGGACAACAAACGCCAAAGUUGGUACAUUGCUAUACUGAAUAACGCGCCAAGACAACACGAAACGAAGAUAGGAGAACACAAGCCAAAGUUGGUACAUUGCUACUACUGAAUAACGGUACCAAGACAACACGAAGAGAAGACAGGACAACACAAUACCAAGUUGGUACAUUGCUACUACUUAAUAACGGUGCCAAUACAAUACGAAGAGAAGAUAGGACAACAACGUCAAGUUGGUACAUUGCUACUACUGGAUAACGGUGCCAAGAGAACACGAAGAGAAGAUAGGACACCGCAACGUCAAGUUGGUACAUUGCAACUACCGAAUAACAGUGCCAAUAGAACACGAAGAGAAGAUUGGACAACACAGUGCCAAAGUUGGUACAUUGCUACUACUGAAUAACGGCGCCAAGACAACGCGAAGAGAAGAUAGGACAACACAACGCCAAGUUAGUGUACUUCGACUGCGUACUAGCGCUUUCUGUUCAUUUUAUGCGUUGCACAGUGGAACAUUCUUCGUAUGUAGGUGUGCCGAAAUAAAUCAGCUGUCAUUCAACGCUCGCCACGUCAAUAUGCUCUGUAGCUCUCUCAAUUUGUUGCGAAGUCUGCCAUAAUUUGAAACGUACGAACAA